This 494-nucleotide ribosomal RNA is filed under the name uncultured bacterium. RNAcentral's name for it is "partial 16S ribosomal RNA". It matches the Rfam family "Bacterial small subunit ribosomal RNA", at positions 28 to 507 of the family's 1533-position model. The record is from RNAcentral.
GACGAACGCUGGCGGCGUGCUUAACACAUGCAAGUCGAACGGUGAAGCGCCUUCCUUUUUGGUGGGUGUGGAUGAGUGGCGAACGGGUGAGUAACACGUGAGUAACCUGCCCCCUUCUUCUGGAUAACCGCAUGAAAGUGUGGCUAAUACGGGAUAUUCUGGGUCUGUCGCAUGAUGGGUCUGGGAAAGAUAUUGUUUCGGUGGGGGAUGGGCUCGCGGCCUAUCAGCUUGUUGGUGGGGUGAUGGCCUACCAAGGCGGUGACGGGUAGCCGGCCUGAGAGGGUGGACGGUCACACUGGGAAGGAGACACGGCCCAGACUCCUACGGGAGGCAGCAGUGGGGAAUAUUGCACAAUGGGCGCAAGCCUGAUGCAGCGACGCCGCGUGAGGGAUGGAGGCCUUCGGGUUGUGAACCUCUUUCGCCAGUGAAGCAGGCCUGCCUCGUUUGUGGGUGGGUUGACGGUAGCUGGAGAAGAAGCGCCGGCUAACUACGUG